Molecule: non-coding RNA, 74 nt
Organism: Aedes aegypti (yellow fever mosquito)
Lineage: Eukaryota; Metazoa; Arthropoda; Insecta; Diptera; Culicidae
Source: Rfam
ACUCUCAUGGCGUAGUGGUUAACGCGCCCCAACUAGAGAUCGGGGAGUCGUGAGUUCGAUUCUCACUGAGAAGA